RNAcentral lists this RNase P RNA (380 nucleotides) under Solitalea koreensis. RNAcentral's name for it is "Bacterial RNase P class A". It matches the Rfam family "Bacterial RNase P class A". Rfam says of the family: Ribonuclease P (RNase P) is a ubiquitous endoribonuclease, found in archaea, bacteria and eukarya as well as chloroplasts and mitochondria. Its best characterised activity is the generation of mature 5'-ends of tRNAs by cleaving the 5'-leader elements of precursor-tRNAs. Cellular RNase Ps are ribonucleoproteins. Lineage: Bacteria; Pseudomonadati; Bacteroidota; Sphingobacteriia; Sphingobacteriales; Sphingobacteriaceae. The record is from Rfam by way of RNAcentral.
AUUGCAAACUGGUCUGUCGCUCUGAGCAAUCAGGGAGGAAAGUCCGGGCAACAUAGAGCAUCCUGCUUCCUAACAGGAAGGACCCGAAUACUCGGGGACAGCAAGUGCCACAGAAAAUAAACCGCCUAAUCCUGAUAGUUAUCAGGAUUAGGUAAGGGUGAAAACGUGAGGUAAGAGCUCACGGCUUUGUCGCGUAAUCGGCAUCGCGGUAAACCUCAGGAGUUGAAAAACCAAAUAAACCGGAGCUAUAGGGCUGCUCGCCUAAUCCGGAGGGUAGGUUGAUAGAGGUGAAUGGUGACAUUCAUCCCAGAGAAAUGACAGAUAGUCCCUAAACUUGUUUCGGGAGGAAACAGAACCCGGCUUACACGUUUGCAUUUUUU